AACCAACUGAGCCACCCAGGCGCCCCAUGUCCUUGUCAGAUUUCAACCAUCUCCACAGCAUCAUCACCAGGAGCAGACUCCAGCUCAAGAAAUCACCUUCCUCGCUCCUCCACAGAAGCAGG
This is a long non-coding RNA of Lontra canadensis (Northern American river otter), 122 nucleotides long. RefSeq lists it as uncharacterized. NCBI's taxonomy places the organism in Eukaryota, Metazoa, Chordata, Mammalia, Carnivora, Mustelidae. The record is from RefSeq and is a predicted model, not a curated record. The transcript is spliced from 3 exons.